GGGACAUCCGAUAAAAUUGGAACGAUACAGAGAAGAUUAGCAUGGCCCCUGCGCAAGGAUGACACGCAUAAAUCGAGAAAUGGUCCAAAUUUUUUUGCUCUUUUCUGCAAUUCUGUUUUUUGUUUUUUUGGUGCUCUCCAUGGUGUUUGCUCACAAUCCCAAGGGCCAAAGGCGUAGUUCACUGCAGUUACAGAGGGCUUUUGGGAGCUAUAAACAUUUCGCAUUUCAAGUCUUUGAUGGUCCGGUGGCCUAGUCUUUGAUCUUCUGGGGUGAGUAAAAGUUUGAAUUCAAUGUAGUUUUCUAAAUUAAAAGCAUAUUUAUGUUGUAUUUUAUGGUUCAGAGGCUGAGUUUUUAGUAUGGAAUCUUUCGUCUUCCAAUUUAAUGCAUGUAAAAAGCUCGCCUACUAGCUGUUUGAUAAAAUGACUCUGUUGAUAUGACCCUUACAUCAUAAUGCGUGUGUGCUCGUUUAGAAGCUUCAAUCUUGGUUGUUUGAGAAAUUCUUAUAUCAUAAUAGUAGCAAUUUAGGUUUCAUUCUGAGCAAAUCAACAUAUACUUGAUAGUUAUCUUGUUUUAACUUCCUAGAUUUUCAUUCAAAAUUAGUAAUUACGCAAGAGUUCUAGGGGGAUAAUUUCUUAACUCCUGCCUAGAUCAGUUUUAGAACAUACGGUUGAAAACUUGAAGGCCAUGUUAUGGCACUAGUUUUAUAAAACGGAGGGUUGCGGUUUGAAAUUUGAAUAAUAUGCUAUCUGCUGCCUUGGGUUAUCAUCGCUGUAAAGCAGAACGCUGUCUAUAAUGCUGUGCGCUUCUGGAACUGCCCACCUGAGGGCUUUGUUGUAGGCUUUUAGCCCUGUGAUUUCAAUAUCCUGCUAACAGUAAGAUUCAUUAGUGAUUUGAAGUGCUAAGUAACAAGAAAACGUAUCCUAGAUGAUGAUGUCAUGUUGGAUACAAGAGUUGAAGAAUUUACCAUCCUUGUGGUGAUAUGUUCAGACAGACUGGAAUUAGAGUUGGGAUUAAGGACAUGAAAUCUGAAACCUAUUUUCAUGAAAUUUCUUUUGUUUCUGACUUGGUUUUUUUGCUUACGUACACUUAUUGUCAGCUGGGGGGUGAUAACAGCACCUGUGUUCUUGGCUUGAAUUGGCUGCUUCUUGAUAUUUAUGGAUUCUCAUGCCUUUGACUGACCCACGUUUCAUAUUUGUAUCAUGACAGGCCCCUUGAGCUUUCAAGCUUGCACUCAUGGAUCUUUCGAAAGUCCAUACUGUCUGUUACUUCGAAAAUCAUGAAGCUGAUAUAUCAUUUGAAUUGAUUGUCGGAAUCGCUUCAUUUUGAGAAUUUGAAGGUAGUGAAAGCCAUACCACUUUUUUUCUUUAUCAAGUGAUCAACUCAAAACUAAAGCCUUACCAGUUUGACAUAUAGUUGGCCUUUGUAUCUAAAGUCUGUUGCUUGAAGCAUGUUGAUACUUGACAUAUUUUCCUUGACAAUAUUAUGAUGCAAAUUCCGG
This 1498-nucleotide long non-coding RNA is filed under the name Prunus dulcis (almond). Lineage: Eukaryota; Viridiplantae; Streptophyta; Magnoliopsida; Rosales; Rosaceae. The record is from RNAcentral.